GAUUAACGUUGGCGGCGUGCCUAACACAUGCAAGUCGAGCGCGAAAGGUAGCAAUACCGAGUAGAGCGGCGGACGGGUGAGUAACACGUAGGGAACCUGCCUUACAGUGGGGAAUAACUCUCGGAAACGAGAGCUAAUACCGCAUGACACCCCGGAGACGCAUGUCACCGGGGUUAAAGAUGGCCUCUGCUUGCAAGCCAUCGCUGGAAGUGGGCCCUGUGGCGUAUCAGGUAGUUGGUGAGGUAACGGCCCACCAAGCCUAAGACGCGUAGCCGGACUGAGAGGUUGUACGGCCACACUGGGACUGAGAUACGGCCCAGACUCCUACGGGAGGCAGCAGUGAGGAAUAUUCGGCAAUGGGCGCAAGCCUGACCGAGCGACGCCGCGUGGAGGACGAAGGCCUUCGGGUUGUAAACUCCUUUUAGUGGGUAAGAAACUCUUACGUUCGAACAGGGCGUGAGAUUGACCAUCCCAAAGAAAAAGCACCGGCUAAUUCCGUGCCAGCAGCCGCGGUAAUACGGAAGGUGCUAACGUUAUCCGGAAUUACUGGGCGUAAAGGGCGUGUAGGUGGUGAUGUAAGUCAGCUGUAAAAUCCCAUGACUCAAUCGUGGAACGCCAGUUGAAACUGCAUUGCUAGAGUGCUGGAGAGGUGGGUGGAAUUCCCGGUGUAGCGGUGAAAUGCGUAGAGAUCGGGAAGAACACCAGUGGCGAAGGCGGCCCACUGGCCAGCAACUGACGCUGAAACGCGAAAGCGUGGGGAGCGAACGGGAUUAGAUACCCCGGUAGUCCACGCUGUAAACGAUGGACACUAGGUGUGGGAGGUUUAAAAUUCCUUCUGUGCCGAAGCUAACGCAUUAAGUGUCCCGCCUGGGGAGUACGGCCGCAAGGUUAAAACUCAAAGGAAUUGACGGGGGCCCGCACAAGUGGUGGAGCAUGUGGUUCAAUUCGAUGCAACGCGAAAAACCUUACCCAGGUUUGACAUCCCGGGAACUUCCACGAAAGUGGGGGGUGCCCUUCGGGGAGCUCGGAGACAGGUGCUGCAUGGUUGUCGUCAGCUCGUGCCGUGAGGUGUUGGGUUAAGUCCCGCAACGAGCGCAACCCCUGUUGUAUGUUACCAACGGGUCAUGCCGGGGACUCAUGCAAGACUGCCGGUAACAAGCCGGAGGAAGGUGGGGAUGACGUCAAAUCAUCAUGGCCUUUAUGCCUGGGGCCACACACGUGCUACAAUGGACUGUACAGAGGGAUGCGAAGCCGCAAGGUGAAGCAAAUCCCAAAAAGCAGUUCACAGUUCGGAUUGAGGGCUGCAACUCGCCCUCAUGAAGCUGGAAUCACUAGUAAUCGCGGAUCAGCAUGCCGCGGUGAAUACGUUCUCGGGCCUUGUACACACCGCCCGUCACACCACGAAAGCUGGUUCUGCCUGAAGUCGCUGUACCAACCCGCAAGGGGGGAAGGCGCCGAUGGCCGGGUCGGUGAUUGGGGUG
This 1481-nucleotide ribosomal RNA is filed under the name uncultured bacterium. Its description in RNAcentral is "16S ribosomal RNA". It matches the Rfam family "Bacterial small subunit ribosomal RNA". The record is from RNAcentral.